CAGCAGCCGCGGUAAUACAGAGGGUGCGAGCGUUAAUCGGAUUUACUGGGCGUAAAGCGUGCGUAGGCGGCUUCUUAAGUCGGAUGUGAAAUCCCUGAGCUUAACUUAGGAAUUGCAUUCGAUACUGGGAAGCUAGAGUAUGGGAGAGGAUGGUAGAAUUCCAGGUGUAGCGGUGAAAUGCGUAGAGAUCUGGAGGAAUACCGAUGGCGAAGGCAGCCAUCUGGCCUAAUACUGACGCUGAGGUACGAAAGCAUGGGGAGCAAACAGGAUUAGAUACCCGCGUAGUCCCUGUCUCUUAACA
RNAcentral lists this ribosomal RNA (301 nucleotides) under uncultured bacterium. Its description in RNAcentral is "partial 16S ribosomal RNA". It matches the Rfam family "Bacterial small subunit ribosomal RNA", at positions 509 to 808 of the family's 1533-position model. The record is from RNAcentral.